This 471-nucleotide ribosomal RNA is filed under the name uncultured Streptococcus sp. Its description in RNAcentral is "bacterial SSU rRNA". It matches the Rfam family "Bacterial small subunit ribosomal RNA", at positions 916 to 1381 of the family's 1533-position model. The record is from RNAcentral. Lineage: Bacteria; Bacillati; Bacillota; Bacilli; Lactobacillales; Streptococcaceae.
UUGGACGGGGCCCGCACAAGCGGUGGAGCAUGUUGGUUUAAUUCGAAGCAACGCGAAGAACCUUACCAGGUCUUGACAUCCCGAUGCUAUUUCUAGAGAUAGAAAGUUACUUCGGUACAUCGGUGACAGGUGGUGCAUGGUUGUCGUCAGCUCGUGUCGUGAGAUGUUGGGUUAAGUCCCGCAACGAGCGCAACCCCUAUUGUUAGUUGCCAUCAUUCAGUUGGGCACUCUAGCGAGACUGCCGGUAAUAAACCGGAGGAAGUGGGGAUGACGUCAAAUCAUCAUGCCCCUUAUGACCUGGGCUACACACGUGCUACAAUGGUUGGUACAACGAGUUGCGAGUCGGUGACGGCGAGCUAAUCUCUUAAAGCCAAUCUCAGUUCGGAUUGUAGGCUGCAACUCGCCUACAUGAAGUCGGAAUCGCUAGUAAUCGCGGAUCAGCACGCCGCGGUGAAUACGUUCCCGGGCCUU